RNAcentral lists this ribosomal RNA (1372 nucleotides) under uncultured bacterium. Its description in RNAcentral is "bacterial SSU rRNA". It matches the Rfam family "Bacterial small subunit ribosomal RNA", at positions 28 to 1381 of the family's 1533-position model. The record is from RNAcentral.
GAUGAACGCUGGCGGCGUGCCUAAUACAUGCAAGUCGAGCGAACGGACGAGAAGCUUGCUUCUCCGAUGUUAGCGGCGGACGGGUGAGUAACACGUGGAUAACCUACCUAUAAGACUGGGAUAACUUCGGGAAACCGGAGCUAAUACCGGAUAAUAUUUUGAACCGCAUGGUUCAAAAGUGAAAGACGGUCUUGCUGUCACUUAUAGAUGGAUCCGCGCUGCAUUAGCUAGUUGGUAAGGUAACGGCUUACCAAGGCAACGAUGCAUAGCCGACCUGAGAGGGUGAUCGGCCACACUGGAACUGAGACACGGUCCAGACUCCUACGGGAGGCAGCAGUAGGGAAUCUUCCGCAAUGGGCGAAAGCCUGACGGAGCAACGCCGCGUGAGUGAUGAAGGUCUUCGGAUCGUAAAACUCUGUUAUUAGGGAAGAACAUAUGUGUAAGUAACUGUGCACAUCUUGACGGUACCUAAUCAGAAAGCCACGGCUAACUACGUGCCAGCAGCCGCGGUAAUACGUAGGUGGCAAGCGUUAUCCGGAAUUAUUGGGCGUAAAGCGCGCGUAGGCGGUUUUUUAAGUCUGAUGUGAAAGCCCACGGCUCAACCGUGGAGGGUCAUUGGAAACUGGAAAACUUGAGUGCAGAAGAGGAAAGUGGAAUUCCAUGUGUAGCGGUGAAAUGCGCAGAGAUAUGGAGGAACACCAGUGGCGAAGGCGACUUUCUGGUCUGUAACUGACGCUGAUGUGCGAAAGCGUGGGGAUCAAACAGGAUUAGAUACCCUGGUAGUCCACGCCGUAAACGAUGAGUGCUAAGUGUUAGGGGGUUUCCGCCCCUUAGUGCUGCAGCUAACGCAUUAAGCACUCCGCCUGGGGAGUACGACCGCAAGGUUGAAACUCAAAGGAAUUGACGGGGACCCGCACAAGCGGUGGAGCAUGUGGUUUAAUUCGAAGCAACGCGAAGAACCUUACCAAAUCUUGACAUCCUUUGACAACUCUAGAGAUAGAGCUUUCCCCUUCGGGGGACAAAGUGACAGGUGGUGCAUGGUUGUCGUCAGCUCGUGUCGUGAGAUGUUGGGUUAAGUCCCGCAACGAGCGCAACCCUUAAGCUUAGUUGCCAUCAUUAAGUUGGGCACUCUAAGUUGACUGCCGGUGACAAACCGGAGGAAGGUGGGGAUGACGUCAAAUCAUCAUGCCCCUUAUGAUUUGGGCUACACACGUGCUACAAUGGACAAUACAAAGGGCAGCGAAACCGCGAGGUCAAGCAAAUCCCAUAAAGUUGUUCUCAGUUCGGAUUGUAGUCUGCAACUCGACUACAUGAAGCUGGAAUCGCUAGUAAUCGUAGAUCAGCAUGCUACGGUGAAUACGUUCCCGGGUCU